Molecule: long non-coding RNA, 397 nt
Filed under: Erythranthe guttata (spotted monkey flower)
Lineage: Eukaryota; Viridiplantae; Streptophyta; Magnoliopsida; Lamiales; Phrymaceae
Description: long non-coding RNA (EGUT_LNC001521)
Source: RNAcentral
UUUGAAGUGUGUCUAACUUCAAAUCAACCAGAGUUCGACUCUUACCAUUGUCAUGUCUCCAUAUAUUUGACAUUUAUCAAGCGGGUUAGCCUAUUGGGCUAAUCAUGAGUUUAACCCAACAAUUCCGACUCUGAAGCGGUUCGGCGGUCUAAAGGUCGGGUCGGCAGAUGCGGGUCGGUAGUCCAAAAGUCGGCUGGCGGGUGCGGUCGAAAAUAAGUCAUGUAUUGGCAACAAUAAAUAUGUUGCAACGAAAUACAAUUUUGUUCUGAAGCGGUUCGGCGGUCUAAAGGUCGGGUCCGCAAAUGCGGGUUGGCGGUCCAAAGGUCGGGUCGGCAGAUGCGGGUCGGUAGUCCAAAAGUCGGCUGGCGGGUGCGGUCGAAAAUAAGUCAUGUAUUGG